AUUGAACGCUGGCGGCAGGCCUAACACAUGCAAGUCGAGCGGAUGAAGGGAGCUUGCUCCUGGAUUCAGCGGCGGACGGGUGAGUAAUGCCUAGGAAUCUGCCUGGUAGUGGGGGAUAACGUCCGGAAACGGGCGCUAAUACCGCAUACGUCCUGAGGGAGAAAGUUGGGGAUCUUCGGACCUCACGCUAUCAGAUGAGCCUAGGUCGGAUUAACUAGUUGGUGGGGUAAAGGCCUACCAAGGCGACGAUCCGUAACUGGUCUGAGAGGAUGAUCAGUCACAAUGGAACUGAGACACGGUCCAGACUCCUACGGGAGGCAGCAGUGGGGAAUAUUGGACAAUGGGCGAAAGCCUGAUCCAGCCAUGCCGCGUGUGUGAAGAAGGUCUUCGGAUUGUAAAGCACUUUAAGUUGGGAGGAAGGGCAGUAAGUUAAUACCUUGCUGUUUUGACGUUACCAACAGAAUAAGCACCGGCUAACUUCGUG
This 484-nucleotide ribosomal RNA is filed under the name uncultured bacterium. RNAcentral describes it as "partial 16S ribosomal RNA". It matches the Rfam family "Bacterial small subunit ribosomal RNA", at positions 30 to 507 of the family's 1533-position model. The record is from RNAcentral.